This is a long non-coding RNA of Hemicordylus capensis (graceful crag lizard), 491 nucleotides long. RefSeq lists it as uncharacterized. The transcript is spliced from 4 exons. Lineage: Eukaryota; Metazoa; Chordata; Lepidosauria; Squamata; Cordylidae. The record is from RefSeq and is a predicted model, not a curated record.
UCCGUAUAUAAGAGUGCAGUGUGCUCUUUAUCAGUAUCCCAACUCUGUUCCAGUGUCCUGGACAUCAGUAAGCCUUGUGGUUGCUGUUUGCAUCUCUGUGAUGAAGGCUUGGAUCCUGCUCCUGCUAGCAAUUGCUGCCUGUGCUUUAGUAUCUGGGGGGACAGAUGCUGCCCAUGAUGGACUUCUCCCAGACGCUUCUACUGUCGCUGGACAAACCAGAAACCUCAUUGGUCAAUUGCUCCAAGACAUGAUUAAGGCUCUAAUUGGUGACCCUCAAGCAAAUCAUGGCUCUACAAAUCCUACUUCAAGUUGCAGGAACUGAAUUGUUAUCGAUACAGGCAACAAUAAUACAAAACCUUCCCUCUGACCACAGUCAAACAGUCGUAUGGGAAAGGAUUGGGAAAGAUGAAGGUCUUGGCAUUCAGAGGUUCUAGCCCUCCAUGCAACAUGAAUACCAAUCAAUCAAUAAAAUACUAAUGAAUCAAACAGCA